This 108-nucleotide ribosomal RNA is filed under the name Pteropus alecto (black flying fox). Lineage: Eukaryota; Metazoa; Chordata; Mammalia; Chiroptera; Pteropodidae. The record is from RNAcentral.
UGUAGCCAUCCUGAACAAGCUCGAUCCCGUCUGAUCCUGGAAGCUAAGCAGGGCUGGGCCUGGUUGGUGCUUGGAUGGGAGACUACCUAGGAAGACCAGGUGCUAUAG